This 506-nucleotide ribosomal RNA is filed under the name uncultured bacterium. RNAcentral's name for it is "partial 16S ribosomal RNA". It matches the Rfam family "Bacterial small subunit ribosomal RNA", at positions 29 to 523 of the family's 1533-position model. The record is from RNAcentral.
AGUGAACGCUGGCGGUAGGCCUAACACAUGCAAGUCGAACGGCAGCACAGGAGAGCUUGCUCUCUGGGUGGCGAGUGCCGGACGGGUGAGGAAUACAUCGGAAUCUACUUUUUCGUGGGGGAUAGCGUAGGGAAACUUACGCUAAUACCGCAUACGACCUACGGGUGAAAGCAGGGGAUCUUCGGACGUUGCGCGAUUGAACGUGCCGAUGUCGGAUGAGCUAGUUGGCGGGGUAAAGGCCCACAAAGGCGACGAUCCGUAGCUGGUCUGAGAGGAUGAUCAGCCACACUGGAACUGAGACACGGUCCAGACUCCUACGGGAGGCAGCAGUGGGGAAUAUUGGACAAUGGGCGCAAGCCUGAUCCAGCCAUACCGCGUGGGUGAAGAAGGCCUUCGGGUUGUAAAGCCCUUUUGUUGGGAAAGAAAUCCAGCUGGUUAAUACCCGGUUGGGAUGACGGUACCCAAAGAAUAAGCACCGGCUAACUUCGUGCCAGCCGCCGCCGUAA